CUCACUGGAUCCUUCACUGCUAAAGGACUCGCAUCGCAAGCGGGGGAGGCACGCCACGCGAGGCGGGGACUGAGAGCCAGCCCCCCUUCCCCCCGGGCUUAGGACCCCCAUCGCGGUUCCUAAGAUCCUUAGGACCCACCUGGAGGACUGUGGGUAUGGGGUGUCCAAGAAGAAAGCUCAGAUCUGCCCACGGCAGGUACCUUACUUGGGAUUUACAAUCGACAGGGGUCCGAACGCAGCCCGGGAAAAGAAAGAAAGCAGGACCCCCAUCGCAGGAGUCGGAGGCACCCCCCGCGAGGCGGGGACUGAGAGAGAGCUCCUCUUCCCCCCCAGGAUCUUAGGACCCCCAUCGCGGGGGGGGAGGCACUCCCGCCAGGAUCCCCAUCGCAAGGGGGGAAGACACCGCCCACGAGUCGGGGACUGAGAGCCAGCCCCUCUUCCCCCGCUGGCUUAGGACCCCCACCGCGGAUUCUAAGAUCCUUAGCACCCACCUGGAGGACUGGGGGUUUUAGGUGUCCAAGAAGAAAGCUCAGACCUGCCGACCGCAGGUACCUUACCUGGGAUUUACUAUCCGACAGGGGUCCGAACGCAGCUCGGGAUCAGAAAAAAAGCAGGGGUCCGAACGCAGCCCGGGAUCAGGAAGAAAGCAGGUCGUUUGCAAUCUACCGGAGCCUAAGGGCAGAAGGCAGGAUCGUGGGAACAAUAUCCCAGGGGGGUUUCCACUUUCUGCCAUAUAUGUAGUCACAUCGCCCACUCCGCCUUGGAAUAUUAUUAAGGACCAUCUAACACGAGGGUGUAUACGUCCUGCGAUAUUACGAGUAAUAUCAACUUCUUGGCCUCUGAAUAUGAGGAAGAAUAUCACAGGGGGUCCGAAUGCAGCCCGGGAUCACAAAGAAAGCAGGUCGUUUGCAAUCUACCAGAGCCUAAGGGCAGAAGGCAGGAUCGUGGGAACAAUAUCCCAUGGGGGUGUACCCUUUCUGCCAUAUAUGUAGUCACAUCACCCACUCCGCCUUGGAAUAUUAUUAAGGACCAUCUAACACGAGGGUGUAUACGUCCUGUGAUAUUGGGAGUAAUAUCAACUUCUCGGCCUCUGAAUAUGAGGAAGAAUAUCACAGGGAUAUUAAUAACAAUUUCACAGGCUGGGUGAACACAGCCGGCGAUGCUGAAAUUAUUAUCAUCCUCUCCCCCUCUUCCCCUCCUGGCUCUCAGUCCCCGCCUCACGGGUUAUGUAGCGGGUUAUGGCAAGAAGACAAACUGCAGUUUCCUGCACAGAACAGCACAAACAAUGAUCCAAGCUCAGUUACAACACAAUAUUGGUCAUCAUUUGACCAUGGACUUCAAUAUCAACCCUUAGAAACCUUCCUAAAACAGGUCAGCAAAACACCAAGAAGCAAUAUCCUGAAUGAUAGGAAAAUAUCCUUGCUUGUGCAAAUUGUUUCCACUUAAUUUUUUUCAACAAAUGUUAAUUAUAUUUUUACUUUCUAAAAAUUUUUAAUAAAAUAUAGCCUACUUGGUUAAAA
RNAcentral lists this long non-coding RNA (1520 nucleotides) under Homo sapiens (human). RNAcentral describes it as "HSALNT0367517". The record is from RNAcentral. Lineage: Eukaryota; Metazoa; Chordata; Mammalia; Primates; Hominidae.